GUGCGUAACGCGUGGGAAUCUGCCUUAGGUACGGAAUAACUCAGGGAAACUUGUGCUAAUACCGUAUGAUGUCGAGAGACCAAAGAUUAUCGACUAGGGAUGAGCCCGCGUAGGAUUAGCUAGUUGGUGGGGUAAAGGCCUACCACGGCUACGAUCCUUAGCUGGUCUGAGAGGAUGAUCAGACACACUGGGACUGAGACACGGACCAGACUCCUACGGGAGGCAGCAGUGGGGAAUAUUGGACAAUGGGCGAAAGCCUGAUCCAGCAAUGCCGCGUGAGUGACGAAGGCCUUCGGGUUGUAAAGCUCUUUUACCCGGGAAGAUAAUGACUGUACCGGGAGAAUACCCCCGGCUAACUCC
Molecule: ribosomal RNA, 360 nt
Filed under: uncultured bacterium
Lineage: Bacteria
Description: bacterial SSU rRNA
Rfam family: Bacterial small subunit ribosomal RNA
Source: RNAcentral